GGGGUUGUGGCUCAGAGGGAGAGUACUCAUCUAACAUGUGUGGGGCACUGGGUUCGAUUCUCAGCACCACA
RNAcentral lists this transfer RNA (71 nucleotides) under Marmota monax (woodchuck). RNAcentral's name for it is "tRNA.Val". It matches the Rfam family "tRNA". From Rfam's summary of the family: Transfer RNA (tRNA) molecules are approximately 80 nucleotides in length. Their secondary structure includes four short double-helical elements and three loops (D, anti-codon, and T loops). The record is from RNAcentral. Lineage: Eukaryota; Metazoa; Chordata; Mammalia; Rodentia; Sciuridae.